GUGAGGAAUUUUGCGCAAUGGCCGCAAGGCUGACGCAGCAACGCCGCGUGGGUGAUGAAGGCCUUCGGGUCGUAAAGCCCUGUCAGGUGGGAAGAAAGGCCUGGAGAGGAAAGGUUUCAGGUUUGACGGUACCACCAGAGGAAGCACCGGCUAACUCCGUGCCAGCAGCCGCGGUAAUACGGAGGGUGCGAGCGUUAUUCGGAAUUACUGGGCGUAAAGCGCGUGUAGGCGGGGGGACAAGUCUGAUGUGAAAGCCCUGGGCUUAACCUGGGAAGUGCAUUGGAAACUGUUUUUCUUGAGUACUGGAGAGGAAGGGGGAAUUCCCGGUGUAGAGGUGAAAUUCGUAGAGAUCGGGAGGAAUACCAGUGGCGUAGGCGCCCUUCUGGACGGUAACUGACGCUGAGACGCGAAAGCGUGGGGAGCAAACAGGAUUAGAUACCCUUGUAGUCC
RNAcentral lists this ribosomal RNA (450 nucleotides) under uncultured bacterium. RNAcentral describes it as "partial 16S ribosomal RNA". It matches the Rfam family "Bacterial small subunit ribosomal RNA", at positions 354 to 796 of the family's 1533-position model. The record is from RNAcentral.